AUGGGACAUCUGUACAAUCCACAUAUGAAGAUAAGGAAGAAAGAGAUGUUUAUUUGCUGUCCAAAUAGUUCUCUCACGUCACUUUUGGCCCAAGAGAAGAUAGAGUCCAAGUCUCUCACGUUCUGGAUUCAGAUUCGGACUGCACAGACACACCUGACUCAAAACAGACACAAGUUUUUCAUACGGAUUCCGAAUUGGGUGAUUCUUUUUUUGUUGGAAACUAGAUUUCGUGCACUUUCCAACCCAAUUGGAAUCACCUUCAAAUUCGUCUGGAGCGUUGAGUUGUGGACGAAACAAUCUGAUGCUACAGCAGAAUCCGAGUCAAACUACAAGUCCAAAGGUGUUACAUCACCUCCACUUGGGCCCAUUGGCCUUGUAUGA
Molecule: ribosomal RNA, 381 nt
Filed under: Triticum aestivum (bread wheat)
Lineage: Eukaryota; Viridiplantae; Streptophyta; Magnoliopsida; Poales; Poaceae
Description: partial small subunit ribosomal RNA
Source: RNAcentral